This 457-nucleotide ribosomal RNA is filed under the name uncultured Amphritea sp. Its description in RNAcentral is "bacterial SSU rRNA". It matches the Rfam family "Bacterial small subunit ribosomal RNA", at positions 346 to 795 of the family's 1533-position model. The record is from RNAcentral. Lineage: Bacteria; Pseudomonadati; Pseudomonadota; Gammaproteobacteria; Oceanospirillales; Oceanospirillaceae.
UGGCUGCAGUGGGGAAUAUUGCACAAUGGGCGAAAGCCUGAUGCAGCCAUGCCGCGUGUGUGAAGAAGGCCUUAGGGUUGUAAAGCACUUUCAGCAGUGAGGAAAGGUUGUAACUUAAUACGUUGCAGCUAUGACGUUAACUGCAGAAGAAGGACCGGCUAACUCCGUGCCAGCAGCCGCGGUAAUACGGAGGGUCCGAGCGUUAAUCGGAAUUACUGGGCGUAAAGCGCGCGUAGGCGGUUUGUUAAGUCAGAUGUGAAAGCCCUGGGCUCAACCUAGGAACUGCACCUGAUACUGGCAAACUAGAGUACAGAAGAGGGUGGUGGAAUUUCCUGUGUAGCGGUGAAAUGCGUAGAUAUAGGAAGGAACAUCAGUGGCGAAGGCGACCACCUGGUCUGAUACUGACGCUGAGGUGCGAAAGCGUGGGGAGCAAACAGGAUUAGAUACCCCGGUAGUC